This is a long non-coding RNA of Oncorhynchus keta (chum salmon), 1915 nucleotides long. RefSeq lists it as uncharacterized. The transcript has 8 exons. The record is from RefSeq and is a predicted model, not a curated record. Lineage: Eukaryota; Metazoa; Chordata; Actinopteri; Salmoniformes; Salmonidae.
UCAGCCUCAUCAGUAGAGAGACCGUCAGAGACCAUGUUUCAGCCUCAUCAGUAGAGAGACAGACCGUCAGAGACCAUGUUUCAGCCUCAUCAGUAGAGAGAGAGACCGUCAGAGACCAUGUUUCAGCCUCAUCAGUAGAGAGAGACCGUCAGAGACCAUGUUUCAGCCUCAUCAGUAGAGAUAGAGACCGCCAGAGACCAUGUUUCAGCCUCAUCAGUAGAGAGAGAGAGACCGUCAGAGACCAUGCAUGUUUCAGCCUCAUCAGUAGAGAGAGACCGUCAGAGACCAUGUUUCAGCCUCAUCAGUAGAGAGACAGACCGUCAGAGACCAUGUUUCAACCUCAUCAGUAGAGAGAGAGAGACCGUCAGAGACCAUGUUUCAGCCUCAUCAGUAGAGACAGACCGUCAGAGACCAUGUUUCAGCCUCAUCAGUAGAGAGAGAGACAGACCGUCAGAGACCAUGUUUCAGCCUCAUCAGUAGAGAGACCUAGACAGACCGUCAGAGACCAUGUUUCAGCCUCAUCAGUAGAGAGACCGUCAGAGACCAUGUUUCAGCCUCAUCAGUAGAGAGAGAGACCGUCAGAGACCAUGUUUCAGCCUCAUCAGUAGAGAGAGACCGUCAGAGACCAUGUUUCAGCCUCAUCAGUAGACAGACCGUCAGAGACCAUGUUUCAGCCUCAUCAGUAGAGAGAGAGAGACCGUCAGAGACCAUGUUUCAGCCUCAUCAGUAGAGAGAGAGACCGUCAGAGACCAUGUUUCAGCCUCAUCAGUAGAGAGAGACCGUCAGAGACCAUGUUUCAGCCUCAUCAGUAGAGAGACCGUCAGAGACCAUGUUUCAGCCUCAUCAGCAGAGAGAGAGACCGUCAGAGACCAUGUUUCAGCCUCAUCAGUAGAGAGAGACCGUCAGAGACCAUGUUUCAGCCUCAUCAGUAGAGAGAGAGACCGUCAGAGACCAUGUUUCAGCCUCAUCAGUAGAGAGACCAUCAGAGACCAUGUUUCAGCCUCAUUAGUAGAGAGAGAGACCGUCAGAGACCAUGUUUCAGCCUCAUCAGUAGACAGACCGUCAGAGACCAUGUUUAGGAUCAGGGUCUAUUCACACAGCGUCUCUCAGUAGGAGUGUAGGUAUUGAUACGUACAGACCCCUGAUCAGUAGGUAUUGAUACGUACGGCCCCCUGAUCAGUAGGUAUUGAUACGUACGGCCCCCUGAUCAGUAGGUAUUGAUACGUACAGCCCCCUGAUCAGUAGGUAUUGAUACGUACAGACCCCUGAUCAGUAGGUAUUGAUACGUACGGACCCCUGAUCAGUAGGUAUUGAUACAUACAGACCCCUGAUCAGUAGGUAUUGAUACGUACGGACCCCUGAUCAGUAGGUAUUGAUACGUACGGACCCCUGAUCAGUAGGUAUUGAUACGUACGGACCCCUGAUCAGUAGGUAUUGAUACGUACGGACCCCUGAUCAGUAGGUAUUGAUACGUACGGACCCCUGAUCAGUAGGUAUUGAUACGUACGGACCCCUGAUCAGUAGGUAUUGAUACGUACGGACCCCUGAUCAGUAGGUAUUGAUACGUACGGACCCCUGAUCAGUAGGUAUUGAUACGUACGGACCCCUGAUCAGUAGGUAUUGAUACGUACGGACCCCUGAUCAGUAGGUAUUGAUACGUACAGCCUCCUGAUCAGUAGGUAUUGAUACGUACGGCCCCCUGAUCAGUAGGUAUUGAUACGUACGGACCCCUGAUCAGUAGGUAUUGAUACGUACGGACCCCUGAUCAGUAGGUAUUGAUACGUACGGACCCCUGAUCAGUAGGUAUUGAUACGUACGGACCCCUGAUCAGUAGGUAUUGAUACGUACAGACCCCUGAUCAGUAGGUAUUGAUACGUACGGACCCCUGAUCAGUAGGUAUUGAUACGUACGGACC